AGGAAGGAGACACUCCAUUCGUUGUUCACUGGUGUGAACCUGAGGCCACUGCCAGCCUGAGCUGAGCUGAACUUCAGAAGACAGCAAGAGCAUCGAGGAAGAAGAAGAUGGCCUCUGCUACCCUGCUCAAGUCCUCCUUCCUUCCCAAGAAGUCGGAAUGGGGCGCCGCCAGGCAGCUCACCGCGCCCCGGCCGGUCACCGUCUCCGUGGUCGUCCGCGCCAGCGCCUACGCCGAUGAGCUCGUCAAGACAGCGGUGCGUUCGUCGUUUCUUCACUAGUGGCCGAUCGAAACUGUCACUAUCGCCAUCUUGCUUGCUGAAAGAAAUAAUGAUGACAUGGUGAGUUGCAGAAAACGAUCGCGUCGCCUGGGCGCGGCAUCCUGGCCAUGGACGAGUCGAACGCGACGUGCGGGAAGCGGCUGGCGUCCAUCGGGCUGGAGAACACGGAGGCCAACCGGCAGGCGUACAGGACGCUGCUGGUCACCGCGCCGGGGCUGGGCAACUACAUCUCCGGCGCCAUCCUUUUCGAGGAGACGCUCUACCAGUCCGCCGUCGACGGCCGCCGGAUCGUCGACAUCCUCACCGAGCAGGGCAUCGUGCCCGGGAUCAAGGUCGACAAGGGCCUCGUCCCGCUCGCCGGCUCCAACGACGAGUCCUGGUGCCAGGGCCUCGACGGCCUCGCCGCCCGCGAGGCCGCCUACUACCAGCAGGGCGCCCGAUUCGCCAAGUGGCGCACCGUCGUCAGCAUCCCCAACGGGCCAUCCGAGCUCGCCGUCAAGGAGGCCGCAUGGGGGCUCGCCCGCUACGCCGCCAUCUCGCAGGUACGCCUUCUUGCUUGCUUCUAGCCAUGGAGAUAGUUCAUCCAGCUAAUUAAUAAAAGCUAACACCGAUGGAAUGGAAUCGACCGAGCAGGACAACGGACUUGUGCCGAUCGUAGAGCCGGAGAUCCUGCUGGACGGCGAGCACGGCAUCGAGCGGACCUUCGAGGUGGCGCAGAAGGUGUGGGCCGAGACCUUCUACGCCAUGGCGGAGAACAACGUCAUGUUCGAGGGCAUCCUGCUCAAGCCAUCCAUGGUGACGCCGGGCGCCGAGGCUAAGGACCGGGCCACGCCGGAGCAGGUCGCCGAGUACACCCUGAAGCUCCUCCACCGCCGCAUCCCGCCCUCCGUCCCCGGCAUCAUGUUCCUCUCCGGCGGGCAGUCGGAGGUGGAGGCGACGCAGAACCUCAACGCCAUGAACCAGGGGCCCAACCCGUGGCACGUGUCCUUCUCCUACGCGCGGGCGCUGCAGAACACCUGCCUCAAGACGUGGGGCGGCGUGCCGGAGAACGUCAAGGCGGCGCAGGACGCGCUGCUGCUGCGCGCCAAGGCCAACUCGCUGGCGCAGCUCGGCAAGUACACCUCCGACGGCGAGGCCGCCGAGGCCAAGGAGGGCAUGUUCGUCAAGAACUACAGCUACUAAUUCAUCGGCUAGCAACUCCGACGAUACAUACUGGUUACGCAAGCUAAGCACGUCUUCGCCGUGAUGAUCCAUGCAUGGUGCUCAUCGAUGCUUUGUGCGUGCCGUUAGUUACUACUGCUAGCUACU
Molecule: long non-coding RNA, 1586 nt
Filed under: Setaria viridis
Lineage: Eukaryota; Viridiplantae; Streptophyta; Magnoliopsida; Poales; Poaceae
Description: long non-coding RNA (SVIR_LNC008547)
Source: RNAcentral